GAAAUGCGAUAAGUAAUGUGAAUUGCAGAAUUCAGUGAAUCAUCGAAUCUUUGAACGCACAUUGCGCCCGCCAGUAUUCUGGCGGGCAUGCCUAUUCGAGCGUCAUUACAACCCUCAGGCCCCCGGGCCUGGCGUUGGGGAUCGGCGGAAGCCCCCUGCGGGCACAACGCCGUCCCCCAAAUACAGUGGCGGUCCCGCCGCAGCUUCCAUUGCGUAGUAGCUAACACCUCGCAACUGGAGAGCGGCGCGGCCACGCCGUAAAACACCCAACUUCUGAAUGUUGACCUCGAAUCAGGUAGGAAUACCCGCUGAACUUAAGA
RNAcentral lists this unclassified non-coding RNA (320 nucleotides) under plant metagenome. RNAcentral describes it as "partial contains 5.8S ribosomal RNA, internal transcribed spacer 2, and large subunit ribosomal RNA". The stretch from base 1 to 105 matches the Rfam family "5.8S ribosomal RNA", at positions 50 to 154 of the family's 154-position model. The record is from RNAcentral.